UCGGGAAUUUUGGGCAAUGGGGGAAACCCUGACCCAGCAACGCCGCGUGAAGGAUGAAGUAUUUCGGUAUGUAAACUUCGAAAGAAUAGGAAGAAUAAAUGACGGUACUAUUUAUAAGGUCCGGCUAACUACGUGCCAGCAGCCGCGGUAAUACGUAGGGACCAAGCGUUGUUCGGAUUUACUGGGCGUAAAGGGCGCGUAGGCGGCAUGACAAGUCACUGGUGAAAUCUCUGGGCUUAACCCAGAACGGCCAAGUGAUACUGUCGCGCUAGAGUGCAGAAGGGGCAAUCGGAAUUCUUGGUGUAGCGGUGAAAUGCGUAGAUAUCAAGAGGAACACCUGAGGUGAAGACGGGUUGCUGGGCUGACACUGACGCUGAGGCGCGAAAGCCAGGGGAGCAAACGGGGAUUAGAUACCCGCGUAGUCCCUGAG
Molecule: ribosomal RNA, 430 nt
Filed under: uncultured bacterium
Lineage: Bacteria
Description: bacterial SSU rRNA
Rfam family: Bacterial small subunit ribosomal RNA
Source: RNAcentral